AGUGAACGCUGGCGGUAGGCCUAACACAUGCAAGUCGAACGGCAGCACAGGAGAGCUUGCUCUCUGGGUGGCGAGUGGCGGACGGGUGAGGAAUACAUCGGAAUCUACUCUGUCGUGGGGGAUAACGUAGGGAAACUUACGCUAAUACCGCAUACGACCUACGGGUGAGAGCAGGGGAUCUUCGGACCUUGCGCGAUUGAAUGAGCCGAUGUCGGAUUAGCUAGUUGGCGGGGUAAAGGCCCACCAAGGCGACGAUCCGUAGCUGGUCUGAGAGGAUGAUCAGCCACACUGGAACUGAGACACGGUCCAGACUCCUACGGGAGGCAGCAGUGGGGAAUAUUGGACAAUGGGCGCAAGCCUGAUCCAGCCAUACCGCGUGGGUGAAGAAGGCCUUCGGGUUGUAUAGCCCUUUUGUUGGGAAAGAAAUCCAGCUGGCUAAUACCCGGUUGGGAUGACGGUACCCAAAGAAUAAGCACCGGCUAACUUCGUGCCAGCCGCCGCGGUAA
This 506-nucleotide ribosomal RNA is filed under the name uncultured bacterium. Its description in RNAcentral is "partial 16S ribosomal RNA". It matches the Rfam family "Bacterial small subunit ribosomal RNA", at positions 29 to 523 of the family's 1533-position model. The record is from RNAcentral.